GAGGGACCCGCACAAGCGGUGGAUGAUGUGGAUUAAUUCGAUGCAACGCGUAGAACCUUACCUACCCUUGACAUGUCCGGAACUUGCCAGAGAUGGCUUGGUGCCCGAAAGGGAAUCGGAACACAGGUGCUGCAUGGCUGUCGUCAGCUCGUGUCGUGAGAUGUUGGGUUAAGUCCCGCAACGAGCGCAACCCUUAUCAUUAGUUGCUACGCAAGGGCACUCUAAUGAGACUGCCGGUGACAAACCGGAGGAAGGUGGGGAUGACGUCAAGUCCUCAUGGCCCUUAUAGGUGGGGCUACACACGUCAUACAAUGGAUGGUACAAAGGGUCGCCAACCCGCGAGGGGGAGCCAAUCCCAUAAAGCCAUUCGUAGUCCGGAUCGCAGUCUGCAACUCGACUGCGUGAAGUCGGAAUCGCUAGUAAUCGUGGAUCAGAAUGUCACGGUGAAUACGUUCCCGGGUCUU
RNAcentral lists this ribosomal RNA (464 nucleotides) under uncultured Ottowia sp. RNAcentral's name for it is "bacterial SSU rRNA". It matches the Rfam family "Bacterial small subunit ribosomal RNA", at positions 915 to 1382 of the family's 1533-position model. Lineage: Bacteria; Pseudomonadati; Pseudomonadota; Betaproteobacteria; Burkholderiales; Comamonadaceae. The record is from RNAcentral.